UACCCUGGCAAUGGGCAAAUAGACAUUUUGUUGGUGGUAGUGUUUUUAUAUUAGUCAGGGGCAGAGAGCAGAUGGAAGUCCUUUGUUCAUCCUAGUUUGAUGCUUGGCUUGGUGGUCAAAGCUGUUUUAUGCCUAAGAUCCAUAA
Molecule: small nucleolar RNA, 145 nt
Organism: Grammomys surdaster
Lineage: Eukaryota; Metazoa; Chordata; Mammalia; Rodentia; Muridae
Product: small nucleolar RNA SNORA48
Exons: 1
Source: RefSeq, a predicted model, not a curated record